ACAAACCGACUGUAACCUUAACUUUGCAGGAUAAUUAGAGAGAAAGAGUUAAAGAUUCAAGUGUUUCGAGACUAAGUGAAAGGUUUGUUGCGUGUUUGUUACAGACAUGAAAUACAGACAACAUGACCACAAAACUAUCUUAACAUUACAGCAUAACAAAUCAAACCUAACUUAACCUUAACUUUGCAGGAAAGGAGAGAAGGAAUUAAAUUCAAGUAUUUUCGAGAACGAGUGAGCAGUUCGGUUUAGUGGACUACCCUACGCCUCUUGCCCCUCGCUCUCACUCUCUACCAAGACGCACGGGCGCACGGGCACCUCUCACUCUCUCUCUGCCAAGGCGCACGGACACACGGACCUCUGCCUCGCUAACUGCACGAAGCCCACCUCAGCCUCAGCCAGCCCAUCUCAGCCUCUGCCAGCCUCCCCUGGGAGGACCACAAUACAUUUAAGCAAUUUGUUUCUUGCCUUCUUCAGUGAUGCAAAAUAAAAUAAGUGUUUAGU
Scylla paramamosain (green mud crab) is the source of this 501-nucleotide long non-coding RNA. RefSeq lists it as uncharacterized. The record is from RefSeq and is a predicted model, not a curated record. Lineage: Eukaryota; Metazoa; Arthropoda; Malacostraca; Decapoda; Portunidae. The transcript has 2 exons.